Molecule: ribosomal RNA, 465 nt
Filed under: uncultured bacterium
Lineage: Bacteria
Description: partial 16S ribosomal RNA
Rfam family: Bacterial small subunit ribosomal RNA
Source: RNAcentral
GAUGAACGCUGGCGGCGUGCUUAACACAUGCAAGUCGAACGGAAAGGCUCCUGCUUGCAGGGGUACUCGAGUGGCGAACGGGUGAGUAACACGUGGGUGAUCUGCCCUGCACUUCGGGAUAAGCCUGGGAAACUGGGUCUAAUACCGGAUAGGACCACAUUUUGGAUGGUGUGGUGGAAAGUUUUUCGGUGUGGGAUGAGCUCGCGGCCUAUCAGCUUGUUGGUGGGGUAAUGGCCUACCAAGGCGUCGACGGGUAGCCGGCCUGAGAGGGUGUACGGCCACAUUGGGACUGAGAUACGGCCCAGACUCCUACGGGAGGCAGCAGUGGGGAAUAUUGCACAAUGAGCGCAAGCCUGAUGCAGCGACGCCGCGUGGGGGAUGACGGCCUUCGGGUUGUAAACUCCUUUCGCUAGGGACGAAGCGCAAGUGACGGUACCUGUAGAAGAAGCACCGGCUAACUACGUG